Non-coding RNA from Microcebus murinus (gray mouse lemur), 1467 nucleotides. NCBI's taxonomy places the organism in Eukaryota, Metazoa, Chordata, Mammalia, Primates, Cheirogaleidae. The record is from RefSeq and is a predicted model, not a curated record.
ACUGCCAUGUAGCCGAGGACAUGGCCUCUGCUUCCUCAGUUCUCCAGGGAUACAAGUGGUUCUUUAGGCUGGUCACUUGCUUGAGUCUGAGCAUGUUCUGUCUCUGGUCUCUAAGUCUAAAGAAGCCACCUAAUGCAGCUGUCCGCCGGGGAAGGGGGAGGGAGCCGCAUGUACUUGGCAUGUAUUGUGUGCCGGGUGUGUUCAUGCAUGUUAUAGCGGUCCACUCUCCCAGCUUCCCUUCAUCCUGGUAGUAUUAUUCUUAUUUGAUAGACGAGGAAACUGAGGCUCCAAGAGACCAAGGCUGCAGAGCCUGAAAACCAAGAUUUGGACCAAAAGCCAGUUCUUCCUGAUCCCAGAGGCUGUGUCCUUCCUUCUGCUCCACGAUGCCUUGUUCUCGGUGGGCCUGGGGAGCGACAGCUAGAAGUUAAAGGACAGGCUGCUUUGGGAAGUGUGUCCGGUGCUGGCUGGAGAUCAGCAGACUGCCCGUGAGGUGGGGAGCCCCUGGUCACUGGAGCUGUGGACACAGAGGCUGGCAGUCUUGUAGCUGUGGUCCUGUGUCAGUGUGUCCAGGGAAGGGGCAGGACUGGGACCAGCUGACCCGUUGGGGCCUUUUGCUCUCAGGGGUGGGCCUGCUUGGGCCUGCUUCUGGGUCCGUCCCCCCGUGGAGGGAGGCUCUGCAGCCAGCUGCUCAUUAUCUGUGGAUCCUCCGAGGGGACCCUGCCAGCUCCCAAACAGGAAACGUGUCCAGAAAGCUGUAAUUAGAGCCGGGAGCCACAGGCCUGAGAGGUGCCUACCACGGCUUCAAGUGUGGACACGCCACCCUGGUGAAGUCCCUGGGAGAGAACCCGAACCCCAGAAGAGAGGAAGCGUCCACCACUGUGCAGGUGAGGAGCCGGAACCUCCAGACGUCAUGUGAUUCAUUCAAGGUCAGCCUACGGUGGCAGAGAGUAUGGCAGAAGUCACCCUAAGUCAGCAGGGAUCAUGGAACUUCCAUUAUGUUACUGGAACACUCAUUUCUGGAGCCCGGAGCCACCAGGACUGUGGGUUCAGAGCCAGUCACUUUGGAGAUGAUGGUAGCACGGGACUUGCAAGACCUGCCUCCCCCAAGCCUGGGCAUCAAGACAGGUGGUAUCUGUACCCACCUCUCUGAGUGACCUCAAACACGUCCCUUGACUCAGAGGCCUGAGCUGUUAAAUGAGACCCAGAGUCCUUGCCUGCCUCCUGUCCGUGCUGUUGUGAUAACCAGAAGCUUUUUGUUCUAAAAUGUCUCCCCAUCUCUCAUCUGGAAUGCCGUGCGGAAGCUAUUCCCCAGGGGAACGGUGUGUACCUCCUCGCUGCCGACUCUUGUUGCUGAGAGCAACAAAACCCCUCCAAAAAAACAAAAGACAUCAGUGCAUCAGAAUUCACGCAGCGGCUGGUGGUGUUUGAGUUGGAAAUCACUGAGGUGGUUUGGUUUCUGUUCGGUAU